UUAAGUUAUUAAGGGCGCACGGUGGAUGCCUUGGCACUAGAAGCCGAUGAAGGACGUUACUAACGACGAUAUGCUUUGGGGAGCUGUAAGUAAGCUUUGAUCCAGAGAUUUCCGAAUGGGGAAACCCAGCAUGAGUUAUGUCAUGUUAUCGAUAUGUGAAUACAUAGCAUAUCAGAAGGCAUACCCGGAGAACUGAAACAUCUUAGUACCCGGAGGAAGAGAAAGAAAAUUCGAUUCCCUUAGUAGCGGCGAGCGAAACGGGAAGAGCCCAAACCAACAAGCUUGCUUGUUGGGGUUGUAGGACACUCUAUACGGAGUUACAAAGGACGACAUUAGACGAAUCAUCUGGAAAGAUGAAUCAAAGAAGGUAAUAAUCCUGUAGUCGAAAAUGUUGUCUCUCUUGAGUGGAUCCUGAGUACGACGGAGCACGUGAAAUUCCGUCGGAAUCUGGGAGGACCAUCUCCUAAGGCUAAAUACUCUCUAGUGACCGAUAGUGAACCAGUACCGUGAGGGAAAGGUGAAAAGCACCCCGGAAGGGGAGUGAAAUAGAACCUGAAACCGUGUGCUUACAAGUAGUCAGAGCCCGUUAAUGGGUGAUGGCGUGCCUUUUGUAGAAUGAACCGGCGAGUUACGAUUUGAUGCAAGGUUAAGCAGUAAAUGUGGAGCCGUAGCGAAAGCGAGUCUGAAUAGGGCGUUUAGUAUUUGGUCGUAGACCCGAAACCAGGUGAUCUACCCUUGGUCAGGUUGAAGUUCAGGUAACACUGAAUGGAGGACCGAACCGACUUACGUUGAAAAGUGAGCGGAUGAACUGAGGGUAGCGGAGAAAUUCCAAUCGAACCUGGAGAUAGCUGGUUCUCUCCGAAAUAGCUUUAGGGCUAGCCUCAAGUGAUGAUUAUUGGAGGUAGAGCACUGUUUGGACGAGGGGCCCCUCUCGGGUUACCGAAUUCAGACAAACUCCGAAUGCCAAUUAAUUUAACUUGGGAGUCAGAACAUGGGUGAUAAGGUCCGUGUUCGAAAGGGAAACAGCCCAGACCACCAGCUAAGGUCCCAAAAUAUAUGUUAAGUGGAAAAGGAUGUGGCGUUGCCCAGACAACUAGGAUGUUGGCUUAGAAGCAGCCAUCAUUUAAAGAGUGCGUAAUAGCUCACUAGUCGAGUGACACUGCGCCGAAAAUGUACCGGGGCUAAACAUAUUACCGAAGCUGUGGAUUGUCCUUUGGACAAUGGUAGGAGAGCGUUCUAAGGGCGUUGAAGCAUGAUCGUAAGGACAUGUGGAGCGCUUAGAAGUGAGAAUGCCGGUGUGAGUAGCGAAAGACGGGUGAGAAUCCCGUCCACCGAUUGACUAAGGUUUCCAGAGGAAGGCUCGUCCGCUCUGGGUUAGUCGGGUCCUAAGCUGAGGCCGACAGGCGUAGGCGAUGGAUAACAGGUUGAUAUUCCUGUACCACCUAUAAUCGUUUUAAUCGAUGGGGGGACGCAGUAGGAUAGGCGAAGCGUGCGAUUGGAUUGCACGUCUAAGCAGUAAGGCUGAGUAUUAGGCAAAUCCGGUACUCGUUAAGGCUGAGCUGUGAUGGGGAGAAGACAUUGUGUCUUCGAGUCGUUGAUUUCACACUGCCGAGAAAAGCCUCUAGAUAGAAAAUAGGUGCCCGUACCGCAAACCGACACAGGUAGUCAAGAUGAGAAUUCUAAGGUGAGCGAGCGAACUCUCGUUAAGGAACUCGGCAAAAUGACCCCGUAACUUCGGGAGAAGGGGUGCUCUUUAGGGUUAACGCCCAGAAGAGCCGCAGUGAAUAGGCCCAAGCGACUGUUUAUCAAAAACACAGGUCUCUGCUAAACCGUAAGGUGAUGUAUAGGGGCUGACGCCUGCCCGGUGCUGGAAGGUUAAGAGGAGUGGUUAGCUUCUGCGAAGCUACGAAUCGAAGCCCCAGUAAACGGCGGCCGUAACUAUAACGGUCCUAAGGUAGCGAAAUUCCUUGUCGGGUAAGUUCCGACCCGCACGAAAGGCGUAACGAUUUGGGCACUGUCUCAACGAGAGACUCGGUGAAAUCAUAGUACCUGUGAAGAUGCAGGUUACCCGCGACAGGACGGAAAGACCCCGUGGAGCUUUACUGUAGCCUGAUAUUGAAAUUCGGCACAGCUUGUACAGGAUAGGUAGGAGCCUUUGAAACGUGAGCGCUAGCUUACGUGGAGGCGCUGGUGGGAUACUACCCUAGCUGUGUUGGNNNNNNNNNNNNNNNNNNNNNNNNNNNNNNNNNNNNNNNNNNNNNNNNNNNNNNNNNNNNNNNNNNNNNNNNNNNNNNNNNNNUUUCUAACCCGCACCACUUAUCGUGGUGGGAGACAGUGUCAGGCGGGCAGUUUGACUGGGGCGGUCGCCUCCUAAAAGGUAACGGAGGCGCUCAAAGGUUCCCUCAGAAUGGUUGGAAAUCAUUCAUAGAGUGUAAAGGCAUAAGGGAGCUUGACUGCGAGACCUACAAGUCGAGCAGGGUCGAAAGACGGACUUAGUGAUCCGGUGGUUCCGCAUGGAAGGGCCAUCGCUCAACGGAUAAAAGCUACCCCGGGGAUAACAGGCUUAUCUCCCCCAAGAGUUCACAUCGACGGGGAGGUUUGGCACCUCGAUGUCGGCUCAUCGCAUCCUGGGGCUGUAGUCGGUCCCAAGGGUUGGGCUGUUCGCCCAUUAAAGCGGUACGCGAGCUGGGUUCAGAACGUCGUGAGACAGUUCGGUCCCUAUCCGUCGUGGGCGUAGGAAAUUUGAGAGGAGCUGUCCUUAGUACGAGAGGACCGGGAUGGACAUACCUCUGGUGUACCAGUUGUCGUGCCAACGGCAUAGCUGGGUAGCUAUGUGUGGACGGGAUAAGUGCUGAAAGCAUCUAAGCAUGAAGCCCCCCUCAAGAUGAGAUUUCCCAACUUCGGUUAUAAGAUCCCUCAAAGAUGAUGAGGUUAAUAGGUUCGAGGUGGAAGCAUGGUGACAUGUGGAGCUGACGAAUACUAAUCGAUCGAAGACUUAAUCAA
RNAcentral lists this ribosomal RNA (3003 nucleotides) under Staphylococcus aureus. RNAcentral's name for it is "23S ribosomal RNA". It matches the Rfam family "Bacterial large subunit ribosomal RNA". Lineage: Bacteria; Bacillati; Bacillota; Bacilli; Caryophanales; Staphylococcaceae. The record is from RNAcentral.